This 661-nucleotide ribosomal RNA is filed under the name Nostoc sp. 2RC. Its description in RNAcentral is "partial 23S ribosomal RNA". It matches the Rfam family "Bacterial large subunit ribosomal RNA", at positions 400 to 1063 of the family's 2925-position model. The record is from RNAcentral. Lineage: Bacteria; Bacillati; Cyanobacteriota; Cyanophyceae; Nostocales; Nostocaceae.
AGUGGAUCCUGAGUACGACGGAGCACGUGAAAUUCCGUCGGAAUCUGGGAGGACCAUCUCCUAAGGCUAAAUACUCUCUAGUGACCGAUAGUGAACCAGUACCGUGAGGGAAAGGUGAAAAGUACCCCGGAAGGGGAGUGAAAGAGAACUUGAAACCGUGUGCUUACAAGUAGUCAGAGCCCGUUAAUGGGUGAUGGCGUGCCUUUUGUAGAAUGAACCGGCGAGUUACGAUCUGAUGCAAGGUUAAGCAGCAAAUGUGGAGCCGCAGCGAAAGCGAGUCUGAAUAGGGCGUUGAGUAUUUGGUCGUAGACCCGAAACCAGGUGAUCUACCCUUGGUCAGGUUGAAGUUCAGGUAACACUGAAUGGAGGACCGAACCGACUUACGUUGAAAAGUGCUUGGAUGAGGUGAGGGUAGCGGAGAAAUUCCAAUCGAACUUGGAGAUAGCUGGUUCUCUCCGAAAUAGCUUUAGGGCUAGCCUCAAGUGAUGAUUAUUGGAGGUAGAGCACUGUUUGGACGAGGGGCCCCUCUCGGGUUACCGAAUUCAGACAAACUCCGAAUGCCAAUUAAUUUAACUUGGGAGUCAGAACAUGGGUGAUAAGGUCCGUGUUCGAAAGGGAAACAGCCCAGACCACCAGCUAAGGUCCCAAAAUAUAUGUUAAG